Molecule: ribosomal RNA, 497 nt
Filed under: uncultured bacterium
Lineage: Bacteria
Description: partial 16S ribosomal RNA
Rfam family: Bacterial small subunit ribosomal RNA
Source: RNAcentral
GAUGAACGCUGGCGGCGUGCCUAAUACAUGCAAGUCGAGCGAACAGACGAGGAGCUUGCUCCUCUGACGUUAGCGGCGGACGGGUGAGUAACACGUGGAUAACCUACCUAUAAGACUGGGAUAACUUCGGGAAACCGGAGCUAAUACCGGAUAAUAUAUUGAACCGCAUGGUUCAAUAGUGAAAGACGGUUUUGCUGUCACUUAUAGAUGGAUCCGCGCCGCAUUAGCUAGUUGGUAAGGUAACGGCUUACCAAGGCAACGAUGCGUAGCCGACCUGAGAGGGUGAUCGGCCACACUGGAACUGAGACACGGUCCAGACUCCUACGGGAGGCAGCAGUAGGGAAUCUUCCGCAAUGGGCGAAAGCCUGACGGAGCAACACCGCGUGAGUGAUGAAGGUCUUCGGAUCGUAAAACUCUGUUAUUAGGGAAGAACAAAUGUGUAAGUAACUAUGCACGUCUUGACGGUACCUAAUCAGAAAGCCAUGGCUAACUACGUG